CCAGACUCCUACGGGAGGUAGCAGUGGGGAAUAUUGCACAAUGGGGGGAACCCUGAUGCAGCGACGCCGCGUGGGUGAAGGAGCACCUCGGUGCGUAAAGCCCUAUCGGCAGGGAAGAAACAGGCGGUACCUGACUAAGAAGCCCCGGCUAACUACGUGCCAGCAGCCGCGGUAAUACGUAGGGGGCAAGCGUUAUCCGGAUUUACUGGGUGUAAAGGGAGCGUAGACGGCGGCGCAAGUCCGGAGUGAAAGCCCGCGGCCCAACCGUGGGACUGCUCUGGAAACUGUGCGGCUUGAGUGCGGGAGGGGCAGGCGGAAUUCCUGGUGUAGCGGUGAAAUGCGUAGAUAUCAGGAGGAACACCGGUGGCGAAGGCGGCCUGCUGGACUGCGACUGACGUUGAGGCCCGAAAGCGCGGGGAGCAAACAGGAUUAGAUCCCCCAGUA
This 444-nucleotide ribosomal RNA is filed under the name uncultured bacterium. RNAcentral describes it as "partial 16S ribosomal RNA". It matches the Rfam family "Bacterial small subunit ribosomal RNA", at positions 331 to 792 of the family's 1533-position model. The record is from RNAcentral.